AUAGCCUUUGCAUUUGACGAAGAAGAAGCAAAAGUGUUGACGCUUUUUGUUGAGAAACUUCAUCUGCUCUCGUCGUUGAAGUCGCCCUUUGGCUCUGAUCGCUUGGCCGUUCGCUGAGAACCCUCUCUAUCUCUCUCUACUUCACUUGUGAAUACUCUUUUCUAUUUCUUUUUCAUCAUCUCUUUUGUGUUUCGAUAAAUCCCUUUUGUGGGGAGAUGUGUAACUUUGGUUGUGUGUAACUCUUUUACCUUCUUCUGAUCAGAGUAAUAAUUGAUUUCCCCCCAUGGGAGAAACAAAACAUGGCCUUGAGUUUAUUAUGAAACAAACAAGUUAUAUUGUUUCCAAACCAGAAGAUUGAACCAACUAUCAGGAUUGAAUACUUCUACUGUACAUACAAUCUAAAAUAUAUGAACAUGCGAAUUGUAAUGGAUUCUUCUACAAAACAUGGAUGCAUGCAGAGUAGCAAGAGUUAAGUGGUGGUCGUAUAGCGGUGAGGACUAAUUUAGUACAUGUCAGUAAAUUUGUCUUUCUUGGGUUCGCUUUUAGAUAAGAACAGAGUUGAUGUUAUUUAGUUAGUUUAGGUCCAUGCAGUUUACAUGGUAUUCAAGUAACAAAUUAUAUAGUUACCAUGUGAUAAUAGUCGAAAAAUAUUUUAAACUCAUAUAGUAUGGUUGUAAGUCUGUUAUAUAGCACUAAUGUUAUCUCCUUUUCGAGCUUUCUUGACUUUAGAUCCGAAUCUUCAAAUGGGGUUUUUGUUAUCUUUUCCAUGUUGCAGCAUUCUUGUUUAGCGUUAUAUACAUUGAAGUUUGUCAGCGUCUCGGCUUGCCUAUUGUGGGAGCUCGAGUUGGGGAAGAGUUUUUGAUCUGGCCUAAGACUGAGAAUCCUGAAGAACUCUUUAGUGAACAUUCAGGACAGAGCUUGUUUGCUAUUAUCAAUGGAAGGUGCGUUGAUGAUCCUGGUUCAAUGGCGUCUGAUUUAACCGGAAAGUCACUUCUAGGCCUUGAUGUUGCUACAAACAGAGACAUUAUAGGGAUUGCUCUCGCCAACUUGAUUGUAAGUUCUAUCAACUACACAUUCUUUAACUUCAAUAUGUUUUUCAGACUGAUACUGAUUCUAUUAUAUUUGCCUUUUGGUUUGUUUUUUAGAGGGUUCACUGGAGACGUGCUUCGAAGCCAUCACCUGGACUAAUGCUGACUUCUCCUCUUAGUCAACUUAACAACACCAGUGUUUCUAAUUUUCCAUUGUUGCGGCCUCAGGAUCUUAGGUACUAUAUAACUUGUUACAGGUUAUCUUUUGAUAUGUUCAUCUAACAUUCGGUUUUAUGGUGAUGGAAGGUUGGCUAUUGCGGCUGCUGAAAGGCUGUUGAUUUUGGAACCUCUUAACUGGCGACUUCGAAGAGACCUUGGUAUGAUGCACUACUACGUCAGGUAAACAAACACCUUCUGUUGCUUGUAUUCAUUAAACUUGGUAUUGGUCGGUUUAGUUUGAUUCUGGAAUGGUUAAUUCUUGAGCAGGCAAUCUAGAGAGGCGAUUCAAGAGCUGAGCAUAUGUAUAGCCUUUGCAUUUGACGAAGAAGAAGCAAAAGUGUUGACGCUUUUUGUUGAGAAACUUCAUCUGCUCUCGUCGUUGAAGUCGCCCUUUGGCUCUGAUCGCUUGGCCGUUCGCUGAGAACCCUCUCUAUCUCUCUCUACUUCACUUGUGAAUACUCUUUUCUAUUUCUUUUUCAUCAUCUCUUUUGUGUUUCGAUAAAUCCCUUUUGUGGGGAGAUGUGUAACUUUGGUUGUGUGUAACUCUUUUACCUUCUUCUGAUCAGAGUAAUAAUUGAUUUCCCCCCAUGGGAGAAACAAAACAUGGCCUUGAGUUUAUUAUGAAACAAACAAGUUAUAUUGUUUCCA
This 1895-nucleotide long non-coding RNA is filed under the name Brassica napus (rape). RNAcentral's name for it is "long non-coding RNA (BNAP_LNC000134)". The record is from RNAcentral. Lineage: Eukaryota; Viridiplantae; Streptophyta; Magnoliopsida; Brassicales; Brassicaceae.